UGAGGGAUAUUGCACAAUGGGCGCAAGCCUGAUGCAGCGACGCCGCGUGGGUGAAGAAGGUUUUCGGAUCGUAAAACCCUUUUCUGUGUGACGAGCAAGGACGGUAGCACAGGAAUAAGUCUCGGCUAACUACGUGCCAGCAGCCGCGGUAAAACGUAGGAGACAAACGUUAUCCGGAGUUACUGGGCGUAAAGGGCGUGCAGGCGGCAGUCUAAGUCUGGCGUGAAAUUUCCCGGCUUAACCGGGGGAGGUCGUCGGAUACUGGGCAGCUCGAGGGCGGUAGAGGCGUGUGGAAUUCCGGGUGUAGUGGUGAAAUGCGUAGAGAUCCGGAGGAACACCAGUGGCGAAGGCGACACGCUGGGCCGCACCUGACGCUAAGACGCGACAGCAUGGGGAGCAAACAGGAUUAGAUACCCGAGUAGUCCCUGAGCGGGCUGGCAAGGCGCAU
Molecule: ribosomal RNA, 448 nt
Filed under: uncultured bacterium
Lineage: Bacteria
Description: bacterial SSU rRNA
Rfam family: Bacterial small subunit ribosomal RNA
Source: RNAcentral